This 211-nucleotide unclassified non-coding RNA is filed under the name Hevea brasiliensis (rubber tree). The record is from RNAcentral. Lineage: Eukaryota; Viridiplantae; Streptophyta; Magnoliopsida; Malpighiales; Euphorbiaceae.
GGGAGAUUUUGGGAUAGUAAACAUCACUAACUCGAGUAAUGGUCCAUUGACAAGAAGCAGAGCUAAAAUGAAACGGGUAAAAGAACAAGGUCAAGAAGGACAUAGAUAUCUGUGAAGGUGUUAUGGGAGUUCUGUUGUGCAGAUUAGCUACCCGUGGAUAUUAAUCUGGAAAUUCCUCAAAUCAUAACUUUUAUGGAUUUGUCACUUUGUU